Molecule: microRNA, 21 nt
Filed under: Prunus persica (peach)
Lineage: Eukaryota; Viridiplantae; Streptophyta; Magnoliopsida; Rosales; Rosaceae
Description: ppe-miR8128-3p
Source: miRBase by way of RNAcentral
UCGUGGGGAGAGAUCUAAUCG